RNAcentral lists this non-coding RNA (26 nucleotides) under Rattus norvegicus (Norway rat). Lineage: Eukaryota; Metazoa; Chordata; Mammalia; Rodentia; Muridae. The record is from RNAcentral.
UCCUAAGAUAGCCACAGUUGGUCUAG